CCAAACAGAGCUAACCAACCACGAGGCUUCAACAAAUUCUCUACUCUCUCUCUACACGUCGCCAAAGCCUUUGCUUGAAAAUCUUUUCCUGCUCGCAUAUAAACCCACGUCCCCUGCUUCUCCCCCUCUCAAAGUAAAAAAUAAACUCUCCCCUGCUUUCUCUCUGUUUUCGAGCUCUCCAAAAUUCACUCCACAAAUACCAGAAGACAAGAUUUCUUCAUCACUACAAGCAGAAACACCAAUAAACGAACAACGACAACACCCCUUUGGAUUUCUUUUACCUCUCUUCGUUGCGCUCGCUCUCUCUCUUAAGUAUUCAUUUUCUAGAGAUUGAUUGCUCAAGAUUUGAUAUGUCUGGUAUCCGAUGCUGUUUUUACUUCAAUCGGAUUAGCCAUUAAAUCCCAUACAAGAUUCUCAAAUCUCUUUUUACCAAAUUUGGAUCUUGGUAUUGCUGCUUUUCAUUUUUCUUCUUUUGAGAAUUGCUUUCUUGUUUUUGAUACAUUUGAUUCCAAUCUUCUUUACCACAUUUUCUUUGGUAUCUUGUCCUCUCUCAAAAAAUUCUCUUAUAUCCCUUUGCACAUAAUAUAAUCUUUUCAGAGAGAGCGAGCGAGAAGGUGAUUAUCA
RNAcentral lists this long non-coding RNA (624 nucleotides) under Populus tremula. Its description in RNAcentral is "long non-coding RNA (PTRE_LNC000783)". Lineage: Eukaryota; Viridiplantae; Streptophyta; Magnoliopsida; Malpighiales; Salicaceae. The record is from RNAcentral.